AGACAGAGGGUGCAAGCGUUGUUCGGGAUUACUGGGCGUAAAGGGCGUGUAGGCUGUACGGCAAGUCGGGUGUGAAAUCCCAUGGCUUAACCAUGGAACGGCAUUCGAUACCGCUGAACUAGAGUCCGGGAGAGGGAAGUGGAAUUCCCAGUGUAGAAGUGAAAUUCGUAGAUAUUGGGAGGAACACCAGUAGCGAAGGCGACUUCCUGGCCCGGCACUGACGCUGAUACGCGAAAGCGUGGGGAGC
This 247-nucleotide ribosomal RNA is filed under the name uncultured bacterium. RNAcentral describes it as "partial 16S ribosomal RNA". It matches the Rfam family "Bacterial small subunit ribosomal RNA", at positions 523 to 769 of the family's 1533-position model. The record is from RNAcentral.